This 417-nucleotide long non-coding RNA is filed under the name Manihot esculenta (cassava). RNAcentral's name for it is "long non-coding RNA (MESC_LNC007533)". Lineage: Eukaryota; Viridiplantae; Streptophyta; Magnoliopsida; Malpighiales; Euphorbiaceae. The record is from RNAcentral.
UUAAUUCUCCUAAGAAGAUGCAAGGUCUCCAGCCAAAUUAGGCUCAACUUUAGAAGCAGUCUUUGGAAUAUCAACAGUUGUGAUAGUUGAAACUACUAUGAUAUCACUUGUCGAAAGAAGAUCCGUUAGGGUAUUUACAGUCUCAAGCACAAGUGGACCAUCACCAACCUGAUUGGCACCUUGGUCAAACUCAGCCGCUAAGGGAGCCAACAUCCCUUGGGGAGUAGGGGGAUGAACUUUGGGGAGAGCACAAUCGUCGGGGCCAUAUUGCACUUCAUCACCAUCAGAGUCAUACUUUAUUGCACGAAGAGUGCUGAGCAAGAUAGCAGGAGACUCUCGAGCACUUCGAAGGCCAUCAUUAAAUCCCGUCGCAUAAAAGCGAGUUGGCUAUUUAAAAACUUUGCCUUUGAAUUCUUC